AGACGAAAUAUCUCAUAUAUCAUUUUUAACUCUCUUUGAUAUAAUUUCUCAACCAUUAAUGAGAGCAAUGAUGCAAUCCUAAUGGAGGUCCAACAAAUGCAAACAGAAUAAUAACAACAAAGAUGAAUCCUCACUAAGAAAUCAUCCGAGAAUGUUCAAUCUACUAAUUUUAUCUCAUUAUAUGUGAAGAAAUUUUUUCUGCUAAAUGUUUUCUACAGAUAUAUUUCCUCAUAUCGAACUGUUAGGAAACUUCAAUGGGGCAGAGUGAUUCCCAUUACUGCUAACAACUGAUGUCAAAGUAAUUUGCAUAGAAGCCAUUUCUGGAUGAACGAUCAGGAUAAAAAACAAGAUUGUCAAUUUUUAAGGAAUUAAUUUCCAUAUACAUGAAUCACAAUUGAAACUAUAAUAUGAAGAACAAAACCAACCAGAAAUUUGAUACUUUUGAUCAUAUAGUGCAGACGAAAUAUCUCAUAUAUCAUUUUAACUCUCUUUGAUAUAAUUUCUCAACCAUUAAUGAGAGCAAUGAUGCAAUCCUAAUGGAGGUCCAACAAAUGCAAACAGAAUAAUGACAACAAAGAUGAAUCCUCACUAAGAAAUCAUCCGAGAAUGUUCAAUCUACUAAUUUUAUCUCAUUAUAUGUGAAGAAAUUUUUUCUGCUAAAUGUUUUCUACAGAUAUAUUUCCUCAUAUUUUGUAAAAUGUCACCGAUUCUUUGAAAAUACAGAUAAAAAAAUGGCAGAAGAAAUACUCCGAUUUAAGGGGGAUUUUCUACAGGUCUCCUCUGGUAUUGUUCACAAUUGACUAGACAAAUUAGAAACCGCUGAAAACAUCAUCAUAAGCAUGCCUAAAAGAUUCCUAAGAUGGUACCUUGAACUACAUUCUAAAUUUUUCCAGAGUACAUUUAUAGAACCUUUAACGCUGCCGGGUAAAAAUAUUAUUUCGUUCAUGUUUCCAUUCUGAUUUAUUAUUCUUAUAAAUCAUUUUCCAUGAUCCCAUGUCAUGGAAUAGCAAAUGAUUUAUCUGACCACAAGGGUAAAUGAGAUUGUCCAACCUUUCUAUUGCAUAAAACUUGGGUAUGUAGGUGUUGAAAAGGUUCAUAAUCUACUUGUUCUUGUUGGACUAGUCGUAUCUCCCCUUCCAAAAAUAACAAAAAUAAAAAUAAUAGUAAUAAAAAAAUAAAUGUAAAAGAGGGAAAAUCUUAUUAUUCUUUCCCAAUUCAAUACAGCCUCCUCCCACAUCACUAGUGGUUGCAAUCGCUAUUUUCGCUAAUUUAUAGCAAAUAAAGACCAACAAUAGAUAGAAACAACUAAAAGCUCAAUAAUUAAUUUUGAAAAAGACGGUGACGAAAAUGUAGCACUAUAAAUUGGGUGAUUGACACUGAUUUUAACCUCAAAAAAGAAAAAAUAUAUAUAUAACAAACAGAAAAAAAGGAUUUAUAACAAAAAUGAACACAGUGAAUCAAAGCUUAGCAUAAUUAAACACAUUAAACACAAAAUCGAAGUACCGCAGAAAC
Molecule: long non-coding RNA, 1512 nt
Filed under: Olea europaea (common olive)
Lineage: Eukaryota; Viridiplantae; Streptophyta; Magnoliopsida; Lamiales; Oleaceae
Description: long non-coding RNA (OEUR_LNC001645)
Source: RNAcentral